GGAGAUGUGGCAGAGCGGCCGAAUGCACUGGUCUUGAAAACCAGCGAGGUUCAUUCCUCCAGGGGUUCAAAUCCCCUCAUCUCCG
Molecule: transfer RNA, 85 nt
Filed under: Corynebacterium sp.
Lineage: Bacteria; Bacillati; Actinomycetota; Actinomycetes; Mycobacteriales; Corynebacteriaceae
Description: tRNA-Ser
Rfam family: tRNA
About the family: Transfer RNA (tRNA) molecules are approximately 80 nucleotides in length. Their secondary structure includes four short double-helical elements and three loops (D, anti-codon, and T loops).
Source: RNAcentral